AUUUUGCUCCAUUCAAAUUGUUGUGAAUCAGGAGCAGACAAAGAAAUACUGUUGGGAAAAAAAGACUUUGACGUACAGCAAGCAACAAGCUCCCCGCCCCGCUCCAUUCUGAUGCAUCCACUUUCAGACAAAGAGGGUUUUAAUUUAUUAACCACAAAAACAGAUUCUUAUGGUUUAAUUUUUUUUUUUGCUUAUAAAAUCACAAAAGUAUGUCCUUAAGUUAGUUAAUAAUUGGAAAAACUCAAAAAACAUCUUAAAAUAAUACAUUUGGUCAAUUUAAAAUUUAAAAUUGUGCUUGAGAAAACGUCAUCCCACAGGCUGGAAAUAAAGGCUGAGUGUCAAAUAGUUUUUCUGAAUUCCUUUUUCCCCCCUUUUUAAGGUGAACUGUUUUUGUAGCGCAGCAUAUACGCCCUGUCAAAGCCCUGAAAUUGUUUAAACCUUACUUGUACAAAAACACAGGAAGCCAUUGUUACAGGCUUCAUUUCUUUAUUGUGGAAGUUAUCGCCAUUUCCUCUUGUUUUUGAACCUUCUAGCCUUCAGCUUGUAAUUUUCCAGAAGUCAUGCCCACACUCCAUCCACCAAGGGAGAAGAUUGGACGGCAUGUCAAGCCACUUCAACACCAGAAAGGAAACGGUCACAAUGGCUAAUAAAUGUGAGGAGACCAAUCAGCUUUGGGGAGUCGAGAGCCACCGGGGAGCGGACGCGAAGAGGACGACUGACAGAAGGAUGUGAAGUCCUUAUCGUCAGCAAACUGCUGCUCUGACAUGACGUCAUGUGGAGGAAGAGCCCCUCUACACCCACUGUGCCAUCCCCUAUUUGGACUGUUACAUCAUGUGGAUUGUCUGUGUUCAGCUGGGAGGCAUGCACAUUUUCUGUUUCAUUAUUGGAAGAGGUGUUCAUCUGUUUCUGGGUGUCACUCCUGGAGGAAGACGAAAGAAGAAAUGAAAUGUGUUGAUUGGACCAAAACGGAUGUGAUAAUUCACAGAGACACAGACUGUUAUUCUUUAAUGCAAAGAGGUAACAGACGGAACUAAAAGUACUGUUUUCCUUUUCUUGGUGGCUGUUAAAUACCAAAUAGAUCAAAAAUCCAGAAUUUGUCUAAGGGGGAAAAAAAGCAUACUCAAACUGCAGAAAGAGAGAUGCAGCGAGGUUUACCCAAUAAUGGUACAGGCCGUUUGGAUCUAUGUGUUUAGCAUUCCUCCUUAAGAGGUUUACCGGCCACUGCACUGCUGAGAGCUGAUUCACAGACAAGCAGCAGGAGGGUAAUUACAAAGACUCAUUCCAUCUAAAAAUACAAGUUCUGGUCUCACUACAAUCCCGUCUCAGUUGCAGCUCAGACUGCUGUGGUUUGACAGAAUUCAUAUUUGUGGUUCCAGGUUUGAUUAAUACAGAUCGAUGAAGCUGGAUGGAGGGGUGCAACAUGGAGGAAAAGCCAAAUGAAUAAAUAAAUGAUAAAAGAUGGUCUUGCUCCCCAGGAGGGAUGUAUUUCAUCACCAUUUCCACCCACUAUUCUGCACGUUGCAGUAAAGCCACCAGAUCAGACUCUGAAUGAGUGCAGACAUCAGCCCGGAUCUGCUUAAACCUUCAGCUGCUCUGCUGCCAGACGCUCCUGCUGCUGCUCCUGUCUUUGUGGCAGCGGAGGGGGGGGCACGCCGCGGCUCCACCAGGGCCACAGACAGUCCAUGGGUCAGAAGGGUUAAAAUGUACAAAACUGGACACAAUGGUCGGACCUGAACCUCCACGCUGACCUAGACGGCUCCAAAAACAAAUGCAGCCGAGGAGGUGAAGAGACACAUGGUGGUCUGAUCACAUACAUUACAGAGACAGGCAAGACAAACAGUUCUCAAUGGAUUCUGAUAAAAGCUGCUUUGUCAUAAAACAAGCCAACAGCUCUAAGGUUUCUAUAUCACUCAUUAAAAAUUCUUAACCCUUCAUAACCCUUAGUAUAAUAUUUUAAACACGGAUUUUUAGAGCCCUAUCUCAAUAGCGUGAUCCAAACUUUCCUUAAAGAUAAAAUUCAUAACUUGCCAUGUAGGUCACCGUCACUCCAGUAGGGGCAGUAGAAUUGCUUUUCCUUAUCAUUUCAAAAUAGUUGACUCCAUGAAAUCUCAAAAUCCUUUUUAUUGAGAAAGGUUUUGCUUUAUGGUACAGAUAACUCUCCUUUUGUUUUUCAUUUUUUAAUGACUGUUUGCUGUAUUGAAAGAAUGCAAACUAUGUUGAUAAAUAUUCUUAACUAUACAGUUGCACCAUGUUAAAAAAGUGCGGAUCAAAUUUCUACAAAAUGAUUAAAUGAGGUCCUAUUUUUCCUGAACACUGACAUCAACAUUUUCGCAUCAUAAACUAACAUUGUUGUGAGCACAAACUUACCGAAUCACACAACACAUACAAUAGAUCAUAAUUGAUACCAUCUAUGUCUCAUAAAAGUUGGGGUGGGGGGGGAGUUGUGGAUUUUAUCAAAGGGUUUAAAAAAGUGUCAAUCCAAAAAAAAAAAAAAA
Oryzias latipes (Japanese medaka) is the source of this 2495-nucleotide long non-coding RNA. RefSeq lists it as uncharacterized. The record is from RefSeq and is a predicted model, not a curated record. NCBI's taxonomy places the organism in Eukaryota, Metazoa, Chordata, Actinopteri, Beloniformes, Adrianichthyidae.